AAGGCCUUCGGGUUGUAAAGCACUUUCGGCCGGAACGGAAAUACGCGCGGGCUAGUUACCCCGCGUGGAUGACGGUACCCGGAAGAAGAAGCACCCGGCUAACUACGUGC
This 110-nucleotide ribosomal RNA is filed under the name uncultured bacterium. RNAcentral's name for it is "partial 16S ribosomal RNA". The record is from RNAcentral.